RNAcentral lists this transfer RNA (26 nucleotides) under Ceratotherium simum (white rhinoceros). Its description in RNAcentral is "partial tRNA-Pro". The record is from RNAcentral. Lineage: Eukaryota; Metazoa; Chordata; Mammalia; Perissodactyla; Rhinocerotidae. RNAcentral also lists the same sequence under 2 other names.
UGAAAUUCUACUUAAACUACUCCUUG